Molecule: ribosomal RNA, 88 nt
Filed under: Clostridioides difficile
Lineage: Bacteria; Bacillati; Bacillota; Clostridia; Peptostreptococcales; Peptostreptococcaceae
Source: RNAcentral
UGUUCCCAUUCCGAACACAGAAGUUAAGCUCUCUAGCGCUGAUGGUACUUGGUGGGAAACUGCCUGGGAGAGUAGGAUGUAGCCACGU